This 127-nucleotide ribosomal RNA is filed under the name uncultured bacterium. Its description in RNAcentral is "partial 16S ribosomal RNA". It matches the Rfam family "Bacterial small subunit ribosomal RNA", at positions 228 to 354 of the family's 1533-position model. The record is from RNAcentral.
GCCUCGCGUCUGAUUAGCUAGUUGGUAGGGUAACGGCCUACCAAGGCGACGAUCAGUAGCCGGACUGAGAGGUUGGCCGGCCACAUUGGGACUGAGAUACGGCCCAGACUCCUACGGGAGGCAGCAG